Harmonia axyridis is the source of this 476-nucleotide long non-coding RNA. RefSeq lists it as uncharacterized. The transcript has 3 exons. The record is from RefSeq and is a predicted model, not a curated record. Lineage: Eukaryota; Metazoa; Arthropoda; Insecta; Coleoptera; Coccinellidae.
UCAACUGAGUCAGUCACAAAAAUAAAACAUAUAACUUAUGAAUAUUCAUAUUUCUUAGUAGAAAGAGUUUAAGAAUUUGUAUGGAUUGAUCACUUGCGAUUCAUCCAGCAGAAUCAUUAAUUCAAUUUUAUAAGUGCAAAUGGCUCUAAUUCUCAAACUCUUUUUCUUAUUUAUUUCAGUUAGUGUAGUUUUAUGCUCACUUCAAAUAGAUAUUUGGCGUCUAAAAUUUACUCCAGAUGAAACAGCAACCAAAAAAACUGAGAAGCGAAAUAAUUUAUUCGAGAAAAAUAUCAUCGAAGUCCCAUGCCAAAAAAAUCAUAGGAAGAAACAAAAUAAUUGCGUAGCAAUAGAUCAAUGUCCCGAAGGUUAUUUAAAGAUUGGAAGAUUAUGCAGAAUGAUAUACUCAUAAAAUGCUCAUAAUAUCACCUAACAAAAAUGUGAAACAAUGGAUUUAUUAAAUGUAUAUUUAUUCCUCA